This 235-nucleotide ribosomal RNA is filed under the name uncultured soil bacterium. RNAcentral's name for it is "partial 16S ribosomal RNA". It matches the Rfam family "Bacterial small subunit ribosomal RNA", at positions 66 to 331 of the family's 1533-position model. The record is from RNAcentral.
GCGCCCCGCAAGGGGAGCGGCAGACGGGUGAGUAACACGUGGGAACGUACCCUUUGGUUCGGAACAACCCAGGGAAACUUGGGCUAAUACCGGAUACGUCCGUAAGGAGAAAGAUUUAUCGCCAAAGGAUCGGCCCGCGUCUGAUUAGCUAGUUGGUGGGGUAAUGGCUCACCAAGGCUACGAUCAGUAGCUGGUCUGAGAGGAUGAUCAGCCACAUUGGGACUGAGACACGGCC